GUCUCUGUAGUUCAACGGAUAGAAUGAGGGCCUCCGAAGCCUUCGAUGGCAGUUCAAUUCUGCCCAGGGAUA
This 72-nucleotide transfer RNA is filed under the name bacterium. Its description in RNAcentral is "tRNA-Arg". It matches the Rfam family "tRNA". Rfam says of the family: Transfer RNA (tRNA) molecules are approximately 80 nucleotides in length. The record is from RNAcentral.